GGACGAACGCUGGCGGCGUGCCUAAUACAUGCAAGUCGAACGAACUCUGGUAUUGAUUGGUGCUUGCAUCAUGAUUUACAUUUGAGUGAGUGGCGAACUGGUGAGUAACACGUGGGAAACCUGCCCAGAAGCGGGGGAUAACACCUGGAAACAGAUGCUAAUACCGCAUAACAACUUGGACCGCAUGGUCCGAGUUUGAAAGAUGGCUUCGGCUAUCACUUUUGGAUGGUCCCGCGGCGUAUUAGCUAGAUGGUGGGGUAACGGCUCACCAUGGCAAUGAUACGUAGCCGACCUGAGAGGGUAAUCGGCCACAUUGGGACUGAGACACGGCCCAAACUCCUACGGGAGGCAGCAGUAGGGAAUCUUCCACAAUGGACGAAAGUCUGAUGGAGCAACGCCGCGUGAGUGAAGAAGGGUUUCGGCUCGUAAAACUCUGUUGUUAAAGAAGAACAUAUCUGAGAGUAACUGUUCAGGUAUUGACGGUAUUUAACCAGAAAGCCACGGCUAACUACGUGCCAGCAGCCGCGGUAAUACGUAGGUGGCAAGCGUUGUCCGGAUUUAUUGGGCGUAAAGCGAGCGCAUGCGGUUUUUUAAGUCUGAUGUGAAAGCCUUCGGCUCAACCGAAGAAGUGCAUCGGAAACUGGGAAACUUGAGUGCAGAAGAGGACAGUGGAACUCCAUGUGUAGCGGUGAAAUGCGUAGAUAUAUGGAAGAACACCAGUGGCGAAGGCGGCUGUCUGGUCUGUAACUGACGCUGAGGCUCGAAAGUAUGGGUAGCAAACAGGAUUAGAUACCCUGGUAGUCCAUACCGUAAACGAUGAAUGCUAAGUGUUGGAGGGUUUCCGCCCUUCAGUGCUGCAGCUAACGCAUUAAGCAUUCCGCCUGGGGAGUACGGCCGCAAGGCUGAAACUCAAAGGAAUUGACGGGGGCCCGCACAAGCGGUGGAGCAUGUGGUUUAAUUCGAAGCUACGCGAAGAACCUUACCAGGUCUUGACAUACUAUGCAAAUCUAAGAGAUUAGACGUUCCCUUCGGGGACAUGGAUACAGGUGGUGCAUGGUUGUCGUCAGCUCGUGUCGUGAGAUGUUGGGUUAAGUCCCGCAACGAGCGCAACCCUUAUUAUCAGUUGCCAGCAUUAAGUUGGGCACUCUGGUGAGACUGCCGGUGACAAACCGGAGGAAGGUGGGGAUGACGUCAAAUCAUCAUGCCCCUUAUGACCUGGGCUACACACGUGCUACAAUGGAUGGUACAACGAGUUGCGAACUCGCGAGAGUAAGCUAAUCUCUUAAAGCCAUUCUCAGUUCGGAUUGUAGGCUGCAACUCGCCUACAUGAAGUCGGAAUCGCUAGUAAUCGCGGAUCAGCAUGCCGCGGUGAAUACGUUCCCGGGCCUUGUACACACCGCCCGUCACACCAUGAGAGUUUGUAACACCCAAAGUCGGUGGGGUAACCUUUUAGGAACCAGCCGCCUAAGGUGGGACAGAUGAUUAGGGUGAAGUCG
RNAcentral lists this ribosomal RNA (1496 nucleotides) under Lactiplantibacillus plantarum. RNAcentral's name for it is "bacterial SSU rRNA". It matches the Rfam family "Bacterial small subunit ribosomal RNA". The record is from RNAcentral. Lineage: Bacteria; Bacillati; Bacillota; Bacilli; Lactobacillales; Lactobacillaceae.